UGGGGAAUAUUGGACAAUGGGCGCAAGCCUGAUCCAGCCAUGCCGCGUGAGUGAUGAAGGCCCUAGGGUUGUAAAGCUCUUUUGUGCGGGAAGAUAAUGACGGUACCGCAAGAAUAAGCCCCGGCUAACUUCGUGCCAGCAGCCGCGGUAAUACGAAGGGGGCUAGCGUUGCUCGGAAUUACUGGGCGUAAAGGGUGCGUAGGCGGGUCUUUAAGUCAGAGGUGAAAUCCUGGGGCUCAACUCCAGAACUGCCUUUGAUACUGAGGAUGUUGAGUUCGGGAGAGGUGAGUGGAACUGCGAGUGUAGAGGUGAAAUUCGUAGAUAUUCGCAAGAACACCAGUGGCGAAGGCGGCUCACUGGCCCGUUACUGACGCUGAGGCACGAAAGCGGGGGGAGCAAACAGG
Molecule: ribosomal RNA, 404 nt
Filed under: Bacillota bacterium
Lineage: Bacteria; Bacillati; Bacillota
Description: Firmicutes bacterium partial 16S ribosomal RNA
Rfam family: Bacterial small subunit ribosomal RNA
Source: RNAcentral